Molecule: long non-coding RNA, 928 nt
Organism: Girardinichthys multiradiatus
Lineage: Eukaryota; Metazoa; Chordata; Actinopteri; Cyprinodontiformes; Goodeidae
Exons: 3
Source: RefSeq, a predicted model, not a curated record
UUUUAUCAUUUGAUUUGUUUUUCUGUGUCUGUAUUUGUGUUUAUUUGAUUUGUGAUUGUAUUGUAAUUGUAUGUACAGCGCUUUGAGUGUCUCGUGGCUGAAAAGCGCUAUAUAAAUAAACUCACCUUACCUUACCUCUCCAGGGUGCGGUUAUCCCUAUUGCUUGUACACUGUAUUCCUACCACAGUUUUUCCUUCCCUUUGCCUCUCUAUUAAUGUGCUUGGACUCGGAGCUCUGUGAACAUCCAGCCUCUUUAGUAGUGAUGUCACCUCUAACACCGAGGCUUCAAACUCGACAGGGUACUUAUGGUGAAGCAGUGGGCCGGAGCUUGCUUCAUGUGACGUCACCGAUGACGUGUGAACCACUUCACUGCUUCAUUCAGACCGAGUCAGCUGACUGCUUCGAGUUGACUGGUGGAGUUUCAAACAUCUGGCGCGAUUCAGUGUAUUUAAGAUGCUCUCAAGUCCCGGUUCACAUCCCCGUUCUACACGUAUUAUACGUUACGAACAGAUCUCGUUUAUGGAUAUUCAGAGUUUUGGUGGAUUAUUCUGUCAUGGAGCAACCAUCUAGGAAGCGUUCCCAAGCGUGGGAAUAUUUCGAUUUGGUGCCACCUAAUAAUAAGGUGCAGUAUUUGCUUUGCCCGCAGCUGCUGACGUAUAAUAAUACUAAUACGUCAUCAAUGCUGAGGCAUUAUAGAGCCAAACACGUCGUGCCACCAGUCAAGGAUCCAGGAAGCAAGAGCUUGAUGAAGCUCUUGUGGACUUCAUAGUGAAGGUCUCCCAGCCUUUCUCUAAACCUAUACCACUCAGCCAAACAGUUCUUUGUCACACCAGCCUCCUCUGUUCCCUGUGAAAGAGUAUUUUCCGAAGCUGGAGAAAUUGUCUAAAUAAAAAAAGAAACCGUUUGAGCCCUUCUACUGUGCAGAAAU